This 482-nucleotide ribosomal RNA is filed under the name uncultured bacterium. RNAcentral's name for it is "bacterial SSU rRNA". It matches the Rfam family "Bacterial small subunit ribosomal RNA", at positions 28 to 525 of the family's 1533-position model. The record is from RNAcentral.
GACGAACGCUGGCGGCGUGCUUAACACAUGCAAGUCGAACGGUAAGGCCCUUUCGGGGGUACACGAGUGGCGAACGGGUGAGUAACACGUGGGUGAUCUGCCCCAAACUUUGGGAUAAGCCUGGGAAACUGGGUCUAAUACCGGAUAUGACCAUGGGAUGCAUGUUCUGUGGUGGAAAGCUUUUGCGGUUUGGGAUGGGCCCGCGGCCUAUCAGCUUGUUGGUGGGGUAAUGGCCUACCAAGGCGACGACGGGUAGCCGACCUGAGAGGGUGAUCGGCCACACUGGGACUGAGACACGGCCCAGACUCCUACGGGAGGCAGCAGUGGGGAAUAUUGCACAAUGGGCGGAAGCCUGAUGCAGCGACGCCGCGUGAGGGAUGACGGCCUUCGGGUUGUAAACCUCUUUCACCAGGGACGAAGCUUUUGUGACGGUACCUGGAGAAGAAGCACCGGCCAACUACGUGCCAGCCGCCGCAGUAAUA